AUUGAACGCUGGCGGCAUGCCUUACACAUGCAAGUCGAACGGCAGCGGGUCCUUCGGGAUGCCGGCGAGUGGCGAACGGGUGAGUAAUACAUCGGAACGUACCUGGAAGUGGGGGAUAACGUAGCGAAAGUUACGCUAAUACCGCAUAUUCUGUGAGCAGGAAAGCAGGGGCUCUUCGGACCUUGCGCUUUCGGAGCGGCCGAUGUCGGAUUAGCUAGUUGGCGGGUAAAGCCCACAAGGCGACGAUCCGUAGCGGGUCUGAGAGGAUGAUCCGCCACACUGGGACUGAGACACGGCCCAGACUCCUACGGGAGGCUG
RNAcentral lists this ribosomal RNA (318 nucleotides) under uncultured Pseudomonadota bacterium. RNAcentral's name for it is "bacterial SSU rRNA". It matches the Rfam family "Bacterial small subunit ribosomal RNA", at positions 30 to 351 of the family's 1533-position model. The record is from RNAcentral. Lineage: Bacteria; Pseudomonadati; Pseudomonadota.